This 438-nucleotide long non-coding RNA is filed under the name Phascolarctos cinereus (koala). RNAcentral describes it as "lncRNA (ENSPCIG00000001402.2)". The record is from RNAcentral. Lineage: Eukaryota; Metazoa; Chordata; Mammalia; Diprotodontia; Phascolarctidae.
AUCUUCCCAGAAUCCUCUCCCUUCCCUACAUGGUCAAUAUUCAGUUCUAAUGCUGCAACGGCCGCUAUCACCGUGUACUGUCUCCUAUUGAGAUAAGGAAGCCAGGAACAUACUCACCACAGUGGCCACUCGGAGUCUUCGGAGCCUACCCGGAUACACGAAAGGACGAGUCGAUCGGGAGGUGUUUAACUUUUUCUAACCAAAAAGCCAUAAGGCUUGUCCCUGGAUGGAAGUUCAAGAGGAUGGUGACCAGAAGGCCCACAGGGAAUGUUGAAGAGUUAUAUUGGCUACAAAUGAAAGAUUGCGCAUGGGGAGUCAACAUUCGGUUUUCUGAAGGAAUAUGAUCAAGUGGAAGGUGUCGCAUGCCACGUCUGCAAAAGAUUUGUCAAUGGCCGUUGUUUGGAGAGUAAGGAUAGCUGUGUGAAGGAAGUACCAUCU